Molecule: ribosomal RNA, 83 nt
Filed under: Escherichia coli
Lineage: Bacteria; Pseudomonadati; Pseudomonadota; Gammaproteobacteria; Enterobacterales; Enterobacteriaceae
Source: RNAcentral
CCUGGCGGCCUUAGCGCGGUGGUCCCACCUGACCCCAUGCCGAACUCAGAAGUGAAACGCCGUAGCGCCGAUGGUAGUGUGGG